Non-coding RNA from Gossypium raimondii (Peruvian cotton), 143 nucleotides. Lineage: Eukaryota; Viridiplantae; Streptophyta; Magnoliopsida; Malvales; Malvaceae. The record is from Rfam.
UGUUAAAAAUUUCAUCCAUUUGUAUAGUUAAAAAUUGGUAUGUAUGAUGAAAUAACAAAACAGUGACGUGAUGUGCCAUGUGUACCUUAUGCUGACAUAAAUGGAUCAAUUUUUAACGGUAAAAAUGGAUGAAAUUUUUAAUA